GGAAGUAAAAGUCGUAACAAGGUUUCCGUAGGUGAACCUGCGGAAGGAUCAUUGUCGAAACCUGCCUAGCAGAAAGACCUGUGAACACGUCAUUAACCACUCAAAGGGCGAGGGGUACAAUGCUCCAGUCCUCCAAAAACAAACCCCGGCGCGGAAUGCGUCAAGGAAAAAAAAACAAAACGACCCAUGCCACCUUUUUGCCCUGGAAACGGUGCAUCACUGUGGUGGUUGAUUCGUGAUUGGUUUAAGUCAAAACGACUCUCGGCAACGGAUAUCUCGGCUCUCGCAUCGAUGAAGAACGUAGCGAAAUGCGAUACUUGGUGUGAAUUGCAGAAUCCCGUGAACCAUCGAGUCUUUGAACGCAAGUUGCGCCCGAAGCCAUCCGGCUGAGGGCACGUCUGCCUGGGCGUCACACAUCGUUGCCCCCCAAGCCCCAUGCCAUUCCCAAUUGGGAGCGUGUGGUCCUAUCAUGGGGGCGGAUGAUGGCCUCCCGUGUGCUUUGUCUCGCGGUUGGUCCAAAACUGAGUCCUUGGUCACGUCAUCGUGGCAACAGGUGGUUGUCGAUCAUUCGGUGCCCCGUCACGUGCGCUGGCCUUGCAUUAGGAACAGAGACCCCAAUGCACCCCAUAGCGGAUGCUUGCAACGCGACCCCAGGUCAGGCGGGGCUACCCGCUGAGUUUAAGCAUAUCAAUAAGCGGAGGA
RNAcentral lists this ribosomal RNA (702 nucleotides) under Dorstenia djettii. RNAcentral describes it as "eukaryotic LSU rRNA". The stretch from base 257 to 412 matches the Rfam family "5.8S ribosomal RNA". The record is from RNAcentral. Lineage: Eukaryota; Viridiplantae; Streptophyta; Magnoliopsida; Rosales; Moraceae.